This 468-nucleotide ribosomal RNA is filed under the name uncultured bacterium. Its description in RNAcentral is "partial 16S ribosomal RNA". It matches the Rfam family "Bacterial small subunit ribosomal RNA", at positions 28 to 507 of the family's 1533-position model. The record is from RNAcentral.
GACGAACGCUGGCGGCGUGCUUAACACAUGCAAGUCGAACGGAAAGGCCCUGCUUUUUUGCGCUGCUCUACUUGCGGACGGGUGAGUAACCCUUGAGUUACCUGCCCUUGACUUUGGGAUAACUUCAUGCAACUGGGGCUAAUACCGGAUAGGAGCUCCUGCUGCAUGGUGGGGGUUGGAAAGUUUCGGUGGUUGGGGAUGGACUCGCGUCUUAUCAGCUUGUUGGUGGGGUAGUGGCUUACCAUGGCUUUGACGGGUAGCCGGGCUGCGAGGGUCACAGGCCAAAUUGGGACUGAGAUACGGCCCAGACUACAACGGGAGGCAGCGGUGGGGAAUAUUGCACAAUGGGCGGAAGCAUGAUGCAGCAACGCCGCGUGGGGGAUGAGGGCCAUCGGGUUGUAAUCCGCUUUCGCCUGUGACGAAGCGUGAGUGACGGUAAUGGGUAAAGAAGCACCGGCUAACUACGUG